Molecule: ribosomal RNA, 301 nt
Filed under: uncultured bacterium
Lineage: Bacteria
Description: partial 16S ribosomal RNA
Rfam family: Bacterial small subunit ribosomal RNA
Source: RNAcentral
CAGCAGCCACGGUAAUACGUAGGGUGCGAGCGUUAAUCGGAAUUACUGGACAUAAAGCGUGCGCAGGCGGUUUUGUAAGACAGGCGUGAAAUCCCCGGGCUCAACCUGGGAAUGGCGCUUGUGACUGCAAAGCUAGAGUGCGGCAGAGGGGGAUAGAAUUCCGCGUGUAGCAGUGAAAUGCGUAGAUAUGCGGAGGAACACCGAUGGCGAAGGCAAUCCCCUGGGCCUGCACUGACGCUCAUGCACGAAAGCGUGGGGAGCAAACAGGAUUAGAUACCCCAGUAGUCCCUGUCUCUUAUAC